AGAAUAUGAUGAUUAAAGUUAUCCCUGGCUGAUGCAACUGAUGAAUUCUUUGUUCUGAUUCUCCUUG
Small nucleolar RNA from Ordospora colligata OC4, 67 nucleotides. RefSeq annotates it as small nucleolar RNA R38. Lineage: Eukaryota; Fungi; Microsporidia; Ordosporidae. The transcript has a single exon. The record is from RefSeq and is a predicted model, not a curated record.